GACCCUAUAGAGUUUAAUAUUUAAUUAAUAAAUUAUUUUUUAGAAUUUAAUAUUAAUUUAUUGAUUAAUUAUUUGAUUGGGGUGAUUGAAAAAUUUAAGUAACUUUUUUUAUAUAAAAACAUUAAUUUAUGAUUGUUUGAUCCAUUAUUUAUGAUUAUAAGAUUAAAUUACCUUAGGGAUAACAGCGUAAUUUUUUUUAAGAGUUCAAAUCGAAAAAAAAGAUUGCGACCUCGAUGUUGGAUUAAAAUUUAUUUUUGGUGUAGAAGCUAAAUUUAUUGGGUCUGUUCGACCUUUAAAAUUUUACAUGAUCUGA
Molecule: ribosomal RNA, 313 nt
Filed under: Pharaxonotha confusa
Lineage: Eukaryota; Metazoa; Arthropoda; Insecta; Coleoptera; Erotylidae
Also listed under: 2 other names
Description: partial 16S large subunit ribosomal RNA
Rfam family: Bacterial large subunit ribosomal RNA (bases 178-313)
Source: RNAcentral